AGAGUUGAUUCUGGCUCAGGAUGAACGCUAGCGGCAGGCUUAAUACAUGCAAGUCGUGGGGCAGCGCAGUGUAGCAAUACAUGGGCGGCGACCGGCAAACGGGUGCGGAACACGUACACAACCUUCCUUCAAGUGGGGAAUAGCCCAGAGAAAUUUGGAUUAAUACCCCGUAAUAUUAUGAAGUGGCAUCACUUUAUACUUAUAGCUCCGGCGCUUGAUGAUGGGUGUGCGGCUGAUUAGGUAGUUGGCGGGGUAACGGCCCACCAAGCCUACGAUCAGUAACUGGUGUGAGAGCACGACCAGUCACACGGGCACUGAGACACGGGCCCGACUCCUACGGGAGGCAGCAGUAAGGAAUAUUGGGCAAUGGAGGCAACUCUGACCCAGCCAUGCCGCGUGGAGGAUGAAGGUCCUCUGGAUUGUAAACUUCUUUUAUAUGGGACGAAAAAGGGCCUUUCUAGGUCAACUGACGGUACCAUAUGAAUAAGCACCGGCUAACUCCGUGCCAGCAGCCGCGGUAAUUCA
Molecule: ribosomal RNA, 525 nt
Filed under: uncultured Terrimonas sp.
Lineage: Bacteria; Pseudomonadati; Bacteroidota; Chitinophagia; Chitinophagales; Chitinophagaceae
Description: bacterial SSU rRNA
Rfam family: Bacterial small subunit ribosomal RNA
Source: RNAcentral